CCCAGUCGCAGGCGUUGAAGAGGUGGCCAUCGGGGUCGUAGCACACCAGAGGGUUCUUGUUGAAGGCCACGGUGAGGUCGAAGCCGCGCAGAGAGCCAUUGGCUGCCAGUGGGCAGGAGUUGGCCACAUGCACCAUGAAGGCACCUGCCCCCCGCACUCCCAGCAGCAGCCCCAAUAGCACCAACAUCGCGGAGGGGGGAGCGGGGGGGGGAGGGGGGCGGCCCCUCAGCUCCCU
Molecule: long non-coding RNA, 235 nt
Filed under: Gallus gallus (chicken)
Lineage: Eukaryota; Metazoa; Chordata; Aves; Galliformes; Phasianidae
Source: RNAcentral